This 1558-nucleotide long non-coding RNA is filed under the name Neogale vison (American mink). Its description in RNAcentral is "Neovison vison (American mink) lncRNA (ENSNVIG00000008892.1)". Lineage: Eukaryota; Metazoa; Chordata; Mammalia; Carnivora; Mustelidae. The record is from RNAcentral.
UCACAGAUUCUGGGAAGUAAGCCUCUCUCUGUCCUACAAGGAUUACUGCAGUAUUCAGCCUUCUCUCAUCAGAUGCCAAGUUGUAGAAGGCUUAGUGGCACUUAUACACUGAGCCUGAAGAGAUGGAAGGCAACUACAAACCCUCAACUUCAUGAGCCUGGGCUGAGUGCACACUGAAGACAGAGAAUGGAGAGAGGAGCUGGAAGACAGGAUAUCAGCAAGUUUGGAAGAUGAGAAUGUCGCAAAGAAGACCAAGGCCAUGGUGGAGCAUGUGGUUGCCCGAGGAGGGGAGAAUAACCACAAGCGGAGUCCAGAAAACCGAAGGGAAAACCGAAGAAUGCAAGUGGCAGCAGCGUGAGCUGAGCGGGGAGGACUCGGAGAGUCACUUAGUCCACAGUGAGCCUGUGCCCAUGCCACGGAGCCCCACAAGAUGGAUCAGGAUUCAUUUGUACUGCUGGAGAACUGUACCAGUUCCCAGAGGAGGAGAAGGUGCCCACGAGGCUGUGCCCCAGAUCCUGAGCUUCAACCUUGGAGCUGCCUUACGGUGGAUGUCUUCCAAGGACCCUAGACUGAGACCAGAUUUCCGCUCCUUGCCAACACCUGGGUUCCAAGGUAGCCCAAAGCAGCUGAUACUUCCCAGGUCUCCGGAGGAAACUUCUGGUAUCGGUAGCUCCCACCUCUGACUUGGCCAGCUGGAGAAAUCAAGGCAAGUUCACAAAGUCUAAUAGGGGCGUCCUUGUACUAACGAUCAGUGAUGUUGUGCCUUUGUCUCUGAGAACUUCAGUGCUUUCCAGACUUCAGUAUUCUCUCUCCAUAUAAAAUCCUGUAAAUAGGGGUGCCUGGGUGGCUCAGUCGUUGAGCCUCUGCCUUCAGUUCAGGUCUUGCUCCCAGGUUCCUGGGAUGGAACCCCACCUCGGGCUCCCUCCUCAGUGGGGAGCCAGCUUCCCCCUCACCCACUGGCCCUGCUUGUGUUCCAUCUGUCACUGUGUCUCUCUCUGACAAAUAAUGUAAUGGGAGUCUUCCAGAAAUGUGCAUAGUGGCCAGAUUGUAGAUCAAGUAACUAAAAACAACAAGGAGAUCUGGAAACGAUUGCUGGGGUAAAUUAAAGGCAAUCUAAAUGAAUAGAAAGACAUCUAUCCCAUGCAUAGAUUAGGAGACACCAGGUUAUUGGAAUACCAAAUCAGUUUCAUUCGCACUCACAUGGGAGAAGACACACUGGGGGCAAAUGUUCAAGCUAAUUCUAAAAAUGUAUAUGCACAUCGAGGUACUGAGACUAGCAAGAUGGCCAUGAAGCCUUCAAUUGGAGAAAUUCACUCCAUGUCAAAGCUCAUCAUGAAGCUAUGGUCAUUAAAGCACUACGUUAUAGUGUAAGUAAUCACAAUGUAUAUAUAUAUGAACAAGAGAGAGUAUUGAGUAAAAAAUAUCCCCAUGCACACAUACAAUGUUUAAACUUUUUUUUUGGAUUAUUUUUAAGUCAUCUCUACAUCCAACAUGGGGCUCACACCUACAACUCUGCAGACAAACAUCGCUUGCUCCACCUAUUGAGCCACCCAGGAAC